Molecule: ribosomal RNA, 525 nt
Filed under: Pseudomonas syringae
Lineage: Bacteria; Pseudomonadati; Pseudomonadota; Gammaproteobacteria; Pseudomonadales; Pseudomonadaceae
Description: bacterial SSU rRNA
Rfam family: Bacterial small subunit ribosomal RNA
Source: RNAcentral
AGAGUUUGAUCAUGGCUCAGAUUGAACGCUGGCGGCAGGCCUAACACAUGCAAGUCGAGCGGCAGCACGGGUACUUGUACCUGGUGGCGAGCGGCGGACGGGUGAGUAAUGCCUAGGAAUCUGCCUGGUAGUGGGGGAUAACGCUCGGAAACGGACGCUAAUACCGCAUACGUCCUACGGGAGAAAGCAGGGGACCUUCGGGCCUUGCGCUAUCAGAUGAGCCUAGGUCGGAUUAGCUAGUUGGUGAGGUAAUGGCUCACCAAGGCGACGAUCCGUAACUGGUCUGAGAGGAUGAUCAGUCACACUGGAACUGAGACACGGUCCAGACUCCUACGGGAGGCAGCAGUGGGGAAUAUUGGACAAUGGGCGAAAGCCUGAUCCAGCCAUGCCGCGUGUGUGAAGAAGGUCUUCGGAUUGUAAAGCACUUUAAGUUGGGAGGAAGGGCAGUUACCUAAUACGUGAUUGUUUUGACGUUACCGACAGAAUAAGCACCGGCUAACUCUGUGCCAGCAGCCGCGGUAAUAC